This 675-nucleotide ribosomal RNA is filed under the name uncultured bacterium. RNAcentral describes it as "bacterial SSU rRNA". It matches the Rfam family "Bacterial small subunit ribosomal RNA", at positions 138 to 807 of the family's 1533-position model. The record is from RNAcentral.
GGGGGAUAAUCGGGAGAAAUCCCGUCUAAUACCGCGUAAUGCCGCGGGGCUGCAUGGCCCUGCGGCCAAAGGGAGCGAUUCCGGCAACGGAUGGGCAUGCGUGACAUUAGCUAGUUGGCGGGGCAACGGCCCACCAAGGCGACGAUGUCUAGGGGUUCUGAGAGGAAGGUCCCCCACACUGGUACUGAGACACGGACCAGACUCCUACGGGAGGCAGCAGUGAGGAAUAUUGGUCAAUGGGCGCGAGCCUGAACCAGCCAAGUCGCGUGAGGGAUGACGGCCCUACGGGUUGUAAACCUCUUUUGUCGGGGAGCAAAUUCCGCCACGUGUGGCGGAGUCGAGAGUACCCGAAGAAAAAGCAUCGGCUAACUCCGUGCCAGCAGCCGCGGUAAUACGGAGGAUGCGAGCGUUAUCCGGAUUUAUUGGGUUUAAAGGGUGCGUAGGCGGACUGUCAAGUCAGCGGUAAAAUACGGGGGCUCAACCUCCGCCCGCCGUUGAAACUGACGGUCUUGAGUGGGCGAGAAGUAUGCGGAAUGCGUGGUGUAGCGGUGAAAUGCAUAGAUAUCACGCAGAACUCCGAUUGCGAAGGCAGCAUACCGGCGCCCGACUGACGCUGAAGCACGAAAGCGUGGGUAUCGAACAGGAUUAGAUACCCUGGUGGUCCACGCAGUAAAC